Molecule: long non-coding RNA, 7402 nt
Filed under: Arachis ipaensis
Lineage: Eukaryota; Viridiplantae; Streptophyta; Magnoliopsida; Fabales; Fabaceae
Description: long non-coding RNA (AIPA_LNC000727)
Source: RNAcentral
UCAGAAUGGCGCACAAACGGAUGUAAUUGUAAAUUUAUCUCAAUAAUGCCCAAAAUCUCAUUCUCACAACUGGAUAGUGCUAUGACUAAUUUAUCUAACAAUACGUCUACCGAGAUGAUACAAUUCCAUAUUCUAAAUAUUGAUGUGAAUUUAACUUCAGCGACGAGUAACGAAGGUGCUUGCCAAUUUGAAUCUCCAAACAGACUACAAACUUAGCAACCCUAUUCUGAGAAAACCAUGAAAAAACUACAUUCAUGAUGGAUCUUGUACAGCAUCUUUAUCUUUACAAAAUCUAUAAAUAAAGAAUAAGAAAUCAGCUACUCUCACAAUCACAAAGCCAAGUAGUCCAUUAUUCAUUCCCCAGUGGAAAGCAACCCAACAUAAUUUAGGUGUUAAAAAAGAUCCACCAAAGCCUGUGGAAGAAUCAAAUGGCAUUGAAAAGAUUAUUUGCAAUUUUUGCACCAGCUACUUUGAGUGCAAUUGGUGACACCCUCCAGGCAUUAAUGACAAGAAGAUUUGAUAUAUACUGCAGAAACAUUGUAUCUUGAAUAUUAGCACUUACUCUUACUCAUAUACAUACAACUAACUAAAGCAUUAUAGAAGACUGCCAACUCCACUACCUAACAAUUUCCAAUUUCUUAUCAUCUACUCAACCAGCUAGGUGCACGGUUUAUACGGAUCCAAGACUUGUUUGUUUUGACCUUUUUUGGGGAUAUGAAGUGCUAUUAUAGGUUUUCUUCCAUUAAUUUUAGUUUAAUAAUAUUUAAGCAUUGUAAACAGUGAAACUCAGUAGGAUUAGGGAUAGUAAAGAAGAUCAUGAGAGUAUCAUAUCAUACAAAAGCGCUGUAAAUAAUCACGAAUAAGUAGCAAAAGAGGGUCCUGAUUCAAUGGCAUCGCUUCGAAUUCAAAAUCAUAGGGCACUAAUUAGCCAUUCUCGCGUUUAAAAAGGCAUUAAAGACAUAGGAAUAAGAAAUAGGCAGAACUGAGUAUCAAAAAAGGAAACAAGCAGAACCAAAUCAAAAUAAAAAAUAAAAAAUAGAAUAAACCCGGGCUCAUCUGAUUCCAACUGCAAGCUUCCAACGGAACUUGGGAGUGGCCAAGUAGGCAAGCAAAAGAAACAGAAACAGAGAAACUGAGACUCGCACUGAAACUAUUGCCGUUUCGACAACCACACUCAACAAGUCUACUGUCUUAUGGUAUGGGUGGCCCCCACAAUUGGAUUUCGCUUCUUUUGGUGAUUUUCACUCCCAGUCAUCCUCUACUCGUGCAUAGGUUGGGCCGUUGGGGUGUGCAUGCCCCGGCUCGACCCAAAUAUUCGAUUUGAUUCCGAACAUUUUAGGGGCUAUUUUGGUGUAAUUUUAUUGGGUCUAGAAUCGGAUAAGAAUCUCAAAAAUAGACUCGAUCAUUAUUUUGGGUCAAGUCCGGGCCAUGACUCGGGUCAUCCGAAGUCGGCCCGGUGGCCCGGUCAUCAUACACAAUUAAUAUUUUGUGUUAUUAGUGAUGGAUGAUGGUUAUUCUUAUGUGGAAUUUAAGUAUUGUAAACCUUAAUAUUUUGUGUUAUUAGUUAUUAUAAGACUAUAAGUUAAUGUUUUAUGUUUAAAAUACAUAAGAUUUUAGACUAAUGCAUAAUAUUGUGUUAUCUAUAUUGAUUUAAAUAUUUGGUGUUAUUAGACAAUAUUAGUAUUGAUUAUGGUUACGCUUUAAUUUUAGAGAAGAGUUAGUUCUUGUUAUAUUUUUCUAAGUGAAUUUUACCAUGUCAAAUAAUAGUUGGAGUCUUGAAAAUUUAGAUAUUUUCACAUAUUAGCUUAUAAGAAGAUAUCAAGGUAAUGUAAUGUUAACGGCUCGAUUUUCACCCGGUUUUUACCCGGUAUAAUCGUGGCCCGAAAGUGUAUAGGUUUCAUCAGAUCUAGGGCCGGGUUCGGGUCUAAUAAAUAGGCCCGGUAUAUAUUUCGGGUCGGGUCUGGAUCACAUCAAACCCGGUUUCACCCGACCCAUGCACACCCCUAGGUUGAAUCAAUGAAGCAUGGCCAUUUGGUUGAGUUGUCAUAUUUUAUAUAUUGGAUAUAUUUUGGAUAGAUACAAUUUUUGUAUGACAUAUUUGUUUGUCGUAUUCAAUUGUAUUUUAAUAAAAAAAUAAAAAAUGGAUAUAUUUAAAAAUACACCUAAAUACCAUUACAUAUCAGUAUGUUUAAUUUUAUUCUUAACAUGUAUUUUUAAAAUGAGUUUAGAAAUAAUAUAUAUUAUUAUUUAUUAAAAUAAAAAAUAUUUUAAAUACUUUAUAUAAUUAAAAAACAUAUUAAAAAUAGUUAAAAAAUUAUUUUAUAUUUUAAUAUUAAUAAAAUAUCAAAAUAUCAUUGAAAAUUUAUUUAAAAACUACUUUAUAUUUUAUAUAUAAGAAAAAUAGACAAAAGUACACCUGGAUUUUUAUACGGUAGACAGAUGUAGUCCUCAAUUUUUUAAUGAGUCAUUUGCACACACGAAUAUAAAAUUUCAUUGUCAAUUCUACCCUUCCGUGGUCUGAGUAAUUUUUCUGGUGGUGGUAGAGGCCAGGUGGCACGGUAUUGUAUGAUAUGGCCAAUUUGAGGUGACACAGUGAAAAAUAGAAAUAUUCAUUAUGAAAUUUGUUGAAAUAAAUAUAAGAAAAGGGAAUAAUUAAAUCACUGUUCAUCCUCUUCCUUCUCUAAUUCCUUCGAACCAUAUGAACCCUAACACGGGAAAAAAAAUUCUUUCUUCACUCUCUUCAAUUUUCUCUGUACAUCUUCGUCCUUUCUGUUGUAACAAGGGUUUGUAAACUCUAAUGUAUAAAAAUGUCACACUCUCAAUGAAAGAAGAAUAUACCUCAUACUUGUGCCAGUAGUUACGGUAGCUCAUCUUCUGCGCCAAAAAAUAGGAAGAAGAAGAAGUUUGACUACAACAAUGGCAAGUGCCUACAUGGACUUGACGCAGUGGUGCUUGAGUCUGCUAUAGAGUGGAACCCUAGAAGAUUGUUUCUUCGUUGUUCAUUAUGGGAGGUAUGUGAAUUCUGAUUUUAUUUUUAUGACAAAUGUUAAUUUUCUGCAAAAUGGUUAAAAUUGUAGUCGAAUUCAUAAUACAGAAAUUUCAUUUGAGCUAAUGAAGUUAUUAAUGCUGGAAGAGAUUGCGGGAUUCAGGAGCAGAGUGAAGAAAGCAAAUGGAGGUAUGCAGAAGAAAGCAACUGGAAGGUAAAAAGAAGAAAUGAAGAUGUUGCAGACAAUUGAUGGGAUUAAUCAAGAGUUGAAGAACAUUAGAAAAUGGAUACAGUAUGUAUGCUUAGGGAUAAGUAUAUGUAUUCUGUGUUUGUUUAUUAACACAUUUCAUCAGUAGUUGUAAUUCCCUCUAAGUAGAAGGCUGUGUUGUCACUUUCAUUUCCAUCAGUAUCUGAAUAUAAAUGGUUUUUUCAAGGUUAUUAAUACAAAUGGUUGGUUCAAUUUUAUUUCUAGUACAAUUCCUGUGCAACAAAACAAACUGAAGAUCUAAUUCAUUAUGAAUAAUAAAUAAGCAUAACUAUGAUAAUCUAUCAUUAGCAACAAACUAUGAUAAUCUACAAUUUCAACUUGCAAAAUAGCAAAUGUCUAUGCCUAUAGGCAUCAAAACAGAUGUUUACAUCAAAAUAUUAAUCGGCUAAAUCCAAACCACAGAAGUACAUGUCUAAAUUACAAUACCAUAAGCAUACCCCUAAAUGAUAACAACAAUUUUAGAUUUUCUUGAGGCCACACACCCUAUUCACUAUCAUAAUCAUCCUCACAAUCGGAUGACAUUGGACUGUGUAAAUCUUCAGAUUCGUACUGAUAGUAGUCAGGGUCGGAGUCACUAUCAUCAUCUGAAUUAGAUGAAUCAGGCUCCACAUGAGGAACAAAGAUCUUUGGUGUCUCAUUCCUUCCUCCUUGAACAAACCUUUGACCAGUCGGUGCUGGCCUCUUAUACGAUGCUCUUCUAUUUUUUUGACUGUUCUUAGAUUUCUGGGUGGGCACUUCAUUCUGACCUUCUUACUGUGAAUUAUUAGGAGGUGGGACUUCUGCUUCACUUUGCUGCUGGGUCGUGUUUCGGUUGACAUUUGGGAUUUCGAAUUGUGACAUUGGUUGGGUUGUAAAAGAAGGAUUGGGAGAUGCUGGGUUCUGAGUUUCAUUGGAACUUUGGUUGAUUUUGUUUUUCUUGUUGGCCUUCUUAACAUACAACUUUUUUAGGGAAGGCUUUUUGUGGAUUUCCAUCUCACUUCUUCUUCUUGGGGUUUCUUGUGGUGUAGGUUGUUCAAUGGUAUCUAUAGUUGGGCAUGACUCAUCAUCUACAAUGUCUACCACUUCAACUUUCUCAGGUAAAUCAACAAUAUGAUCCCAAUAAAUAUGGCAUAUUCUUUCAUUUUCAAUACCAAAUUCAUACAUUCGGACUACAUCACUGUCAAGCCUAAUUAAAUGCAAACCAUUCGAUACCUCAUUCUCAACCCAGUAAAAAUCUUUGAAUGAGACAUACCCCAAAUCCUUAAAUAACCCCACCAUAAAAAAUGUAUUCAGAGUUUCCACAUUCACCCUAGGAAUCACAGUAACCUCCCCUCCAACAUAUUUUAGAACCCCAUUCAUGUUUCUCUCAAAUCUUCCCUCGUGAUGAUACACAAAGGUUAUAUGAUUUGCCAUCUGUUUAUCGAAAAAUUCUCUAUCAAACUAUAGAAUAACCAAAUUGAUGUAUUUUCAUAUCAUAACACAGAUACAUGUGAAGGAAGGAAGCAUUAUCUUUUGAUCACGUCUGAUUCUGAACUCUCCUCCUUCGCAUAAGCCUGUGUGUGGACUUUCACGCUUCGUGUCCUACCACUUUUGCCUUCAGAAUAUAACGCAAAUGAUGAACUGCAACGAACGAACUGUGAAGUGCCUAGAAAUUCACUAUGCUUACUCUCUGCUAGGGCAUGUUUUCAUUCAACACUAAAAUAUGAAAAUGAAGAUAAUGAAGAGACUUGUAAAACUUUUUCUUUUUAAAAAAAAAUCAGCAAAUUUCAUAAUGAAUAUUUCUAUUUUUCACUGUGUCACCUCAAAUUGGCCAUAUCAUACAAUACCGUGCCACCUGGCCUCCACCACUGCCGAAAAAAUUACUCAGGUCACGGAAGGGUAGAUUGACAACGGAGUUUUAUAUUCAUGUUUGCAAAUGACUCAUUAAAAAAUUGAGAAGUACAUCUGUCUACCGUGUGAAAAUUCGAGUGUACUUUUGUCUAUUUUUCCUUUAUAUAUAUGUCGUGUCCUCGUCUCUUAUAAGAUUUUAAAAUUUUUGUGUCAUGUGUCCUGUGUCGUGUUAUGUCCUGUGUCCCUGUCAGUAUCCGUGCAUCAUAGGAUUGAACUAUUUAAUUAGGUAAAAAUUAAGUAAAUCUAUUAAAUUAUCAUAAAAUCAAAAUACUACAUUAUUAUUCAAUAAUAAUUGAAUUAUAUAUAAAAUUUAGUUUAAUUCAUGCUUUUAUAUAUAAUUAUGGAAGAGUUUCUGGCAUAGUUGUCUGAACUGACCCGAUGAUCAAACUAGUAAAACUACUGGGUUACUGAGUUUCUGGUUCAACCAGUAUAUCACAAUUGAAUCGGUUGAUCCAAUCUUAUUUAAAUAAAAAUAUAAAAUAAUAUAAAAUUAAAAUUUAAAAUAUAUGUCUUCCUUACAAAGUUGGCAGUUUAUGUCUUCUCUAUAGACACGUGCUCUCUUUUGUUAAGUAAAAAUCUACCAUGGAGAACUUGCCAAAUAAAGGUUUUAGCCUUUUGAGGUCCUUCCCAGCUCCAUAUAAUGGUUCGUAGUGUUUUCCUAGAUGCUGACUAAUUUUUUAUGACUUUGUAGGUGGUUCCUGUAGAGAAGUCCUCAUAUGUCAUGUGCCUCCAACCUAUUCGGUCAUCUCCAUGGCUUUGUUGGGUUUAGACAUAGCAAUAAUCUUCAUGACUGUCUCCUCAAGUAAGCUUUUUCUCAGUUUAUUUUUUGUUCCAGUUACCGAACCUGUUUGUCCAUUUUCAAACACAAUUUUUUUUUGCCAGUGAUAUUUCUAGUUGCCUUGUUGAUCAAUAUUCCUUAUUUUUCUACCCAGGGAUCCAGCCAAAAAUUGGUUGACAAUCCAUCACCAAUAUGGUGGAUAAUACAUUCCUUGAAGGUUGGCCAGAGUUUCACAAGCUCUUUCCAAAGAGGUGAGUCUGACUUCCUUAUUGUAGGUUGGUUUAGAUCUCUGUUGUUAUUGCAAUAUUUGUGAGUCAGAACUUCUACCCAUAGUGAAUUAGGCCUUUCUUUGAUGUUCCAUAUGAUCUUAAGUAAGAAGGCAUCAUUUAUAGUGUUUAGUUUCGCAUUUUUAAUCCUCCUUCAUGUUUAGGAGUGCAGAUAGUUUUCCAAUUGAUAGCAUGAAAUUUUUCUCUAGUUGUUUGUGUCUCCCUGAUAAACCCCAAUUUUGUGGCUUAUCUUGUAUUGAAUUUAGGAGAUUUUAUCAACUUAUCUCACACUUAUUCACUAAAAUAGCAUGGUUUUAUAAACUCUCCCUAAUUUGUGCUUAAGAGUGAAAACAUGCUUUUUAGGCCUUAAAAUUGUUAAAUUUAAUUCACUUUAAUUCCAUUCGAUGCCUUGAUAUGUUUGUUUGAGUGAUUUAAGAUUUUGAAGGCAAGAAUGGUUUGAAAGAAAUGGAAGAAAAGCAUGAAAACUGGGAGAACUCAUGAAGAAAUGAAGGAAUUGCUAAGCUGACAAUCAUGACCUCUUCGUACUAAAUCGAUCAUAACUUGAGCUACAGAGAUCCAAAUGAGGCGGUUCCAGUUACAUUGGAAAGAUAACAUCUGGGACUUCAAAAUGAUAUGCAAUUUACCAUAGUUGCCUUGCAGUUAGAUGAUGCGUACGCGUCGACCAUCAUGCGUGUCGUAGGAUCAGCGUGACUCGCUUAAAGGCAACACGUGACCAGCAAUUUCUGAAGCAUUUUAGGCCCAAUCUAACCCAUUUCUGAUACUAUUGAACCAAGAAUUGAAGGGGAAAUGAACCAAGUAGUCAUAGUAUAGUUUUCAUCAUGUUUUAGGUUAGAAUUCUAGAGAGAGAAGCUCUCCAUUCUAAGAAAUUAUAAAGAGAAGUAGAUGAAAACAAGAAAUUAAACCUAAAUCUAAGAAGAAUUAACCUAAUUCUAACCUAAUUCUAACCUAAAGCAUGGUCCUUAGCUAAACUAAUUGCUCCCCCCUUGACCCAUCUUGAGUUCUGCAUCAAAUAGCCUCAGAAAUGAGUUGGACUUGGCCGGAAAGCUCAGAAAUCGCCCCGAGCGAAUUCACUUUAAGUGAGUCACGUGCUGCUCGUCACGUGUGCACGUGGAUAACGUGUGCAUGUUGCUGGCAAAUUUUCUCCUCACGCGUACGCAUGGGUAACGCGUGCGCGUGGCUUUGCAAAUGUCCUUCUCAUGCGUACGCGUGAGUGA